AUUGAACGCUGGCGGCAUGCUUUACACAUGCAAGUCGAACGGCAGCGCGGGGGCAACCCUGGCGGCGAGUGGCGAACGGGUGAGUAAUGCAUCGGAACGUAUCCUGUAAUGGGGGAUAACGUAGCGAAAGUUACGCUAAUACCGCAUACGCUCGAGAGAGGAAAGUGGGGGAUCACAAAGACCUCACGUUAUAGGAGCGGCCGAUGUCCGAUUAGCUAGUUGGUGGGUAAGGCCUACCAAGGCGACGAUCGGUAGCUGGUCUGAGAGGAUGAUCAGCCACACUGGGACUGAGACACGGCCCAGACUCCUACGGGAGGCAGCAGUGGGAAUUUUGGACAAUGGGCGAAAGCCUGAUCCAGCCAUGCCGCGUGCGGGAAGAAGGCCU
Molecule: ribosomal RNA, 385 nt
Filed under: uncultured bacterium
Lineage: Bacteria
Description: bacterial SSU rRNA
Rfam family: Bacterial small subunit ribosomal RNA
Source: RNAcentral